CUGGGCGUUAAGUUGCAGGGUAUAGACCCGAAACCCGGUGAUCUAGCCAUGGGCAGGUUGAAGGUUGGGUAACACUAACUGGAGGACCGAACCGACUAAUGUUGAAAAAUUAGCGGAUGACUUGUGGCUGGGGGUGAAAGGCCAAUCAAACCGGGAGAUAGCUGGUUCUCCCCGAAAGCUAUUUAGGUAGCGCCUCGUGAAUUCAUCUCCGGGGGUAGAGCACUGUUUCGGCAAGGGGGUCAUCCCGACUUACCAACCCGAUGCAAACUGCGAAUACCGGAGAAUGUUAUCACGGGAGACACACGGCGGGUGCUAACGUCCGUCGUGAAGAGGGAAACAACCCAGACCGCCAGCUAAGGUCCCAAAGUCAUGGUUAAGUGGGAAACGAUGUGGGAAGGCCCAGACAGCCAGGAUGUUGGCUUAGAAGCAGCCAUCAUUUAAAGAAAGCGUAAUAGCUCACUGGUCGAGUCGGCCUGCGCGGAAGAUGUAACGGGGCUAAACCAUGCACCGAAGCUGCGGCAGCGACGCUGAUGCGUUGUUGGGUAGGGGAGCGUUCUGUAAGCCUGUGAAGGUGUGCUGUGAGGCAUGCUGGAGGUAUCAGAAGUGCGAAUGCUGACAUAAGUAACGAUAAAGCGGGUGAAAAGCCCGCUCGCCGGAAGACCAAGGGUUCCUGUCCAACGUUAAUCGGGGCAGGGUGAGUCGACCCCUAAGGCGAGGCCGAAAGGCGUAGUCGAUGGGAAACAGGUUAAUAUUCCUGUACUUGGUGUUACUGCGAAGGGGGGACGGAGAAGGCUAUGUUGGCCGGGCGACGGUUGUCCCGGUUUAAGCGUGUAGGCUGGUUUUCCAGGCAAAUCCGGAAAACUAAGGCUGAGGCGUGAUGACGAGGCACUACGGUGCUGAAGCAACAAAUGCCCUGCUUCCAGGAAAAGCCUCUAAGCAUCAGGUAACAUCAAAUCGUACCCCAAACCGACACAGGUGGUCAGGUAGAGAAUACCAAGGCGCUUGAGAGAACUCGGGUGAAGGAACUAGGCAAAAUGGUGCCGUAACUUCGGGAGAAGGCACGCUGAUAUGUAGGUGAAGUCCCUCGCGGAUGGAGCUGAAAUCAGUCGAAGAUACCAGCUGGCUGCAACUGUUUAUUAAAAACACAGCACUGUGCAAACACGAAAGUGGACGUAUACGGUGUGACGCCUGCCCGGUGCCGGAAGGUUAAUUGAUGGGGUUAGCGCAAGCGAAGCUCUUGAUCGAAGCCCCGGUAAACGGCGGCCGUAACUAUAACGGUCCUAAGGUAGCGAAAUUCCUUGUCGGGUAAGUUCCGACCUGCACGAAUGGCGUAAUGAUGGCCAGGCUGUCUCCACCCGAGACUCAGUGAAAUUGAACUCGCUGUGAAGAUGCAGUGUACCCGCGGCAAGACGGAAAGACCCCGUGAACCUUUACUAUAGCUUGACACUGAACAUUGAGCCUUGAUGUGUAGGAUAGGUGGGAGGCUU
This 1487-nucleotide ribosomal RNA is filed under the name Escherichia coli. Its description in RNAcentral is "partial 23S ribosomal RNA". It matches the Rfam family "Bacterial large subunit ribosomal RNA", at positions 688 to 2157 of the family's 2925-position model. Lineage: Bacteria; Pseudomonadati; Pseudomonadota; Gammaproteobacteria; Enterobacterales; Enterobacteriaceae. The record is from RNAcentral.